Molecule: ribosomal RNA, 464 nt
Filed under: uncultured bacterium
Lineage: Bacteria
Description: partial 16S ribosomal RNA
Rfam family: Bacterial small subunit ribosomal RNA
Source: RNAcentral
CCUACGGGAGGCUGCAGUGGGGAAUAUUGCGCAAUGGGCGAAAGCCUGACGCAGCGACGCCGCGUGAGGGAUGAAGGUCUUCGGAUCGUAAACCUCUGUCAGCAGGGAAGAACGGUCACUGUGCUAAUCAGCAGUGAAUUGACGGUACCUGCAAAGGAAGCACCGGCUAACUCCGUGCCAGCAGCCGCGGUAAUACGGAGGGUGCGAGCGUUAUCCGGAUUUAUUGGGUUUAAAGGGUGCGUAGGCGGAACAUUAAGUCAGCGGUAAAAGCGAGGGGCUCAACCCCUUUAAGCCGUUGAAACUGGUGAUCUUGAGUGGGCGAGAAGUAUGCGGAAUGCGUGGUGUAGCGGUGAAAUGCAUAGAUAUCACGCAGAACUCCGAUUGCGAAGGCAGCAUACCGGCGCCCGACUGACGCUGAGGCACGAAAGCGUGGGGAUCGAACAGGAUUAGAUACCCCAGUAGUC